This is a non-coding RNA of Plectropomus leopardus (leopard coralgrouper), 590 nucleotides long. Lineage: Eukaryota; Metazoa; Chordata; Actinopteri; Perciformes; Serranidae. The record is from RefSeq and is a predicted model, not a curated record.
CGACAGAGCGUCUCUUCCUCUGAUUUUUUUCUAUCACACAGAGGAUGGUACACCUUUCAUUCCGGGAGGAAGCAGCAAGUUGAAUAGCAGUCACCGCAUCCCGCUGCAACUUGUCGAGGCAUUUGUUUCCGCCUCACGACAGCAAAGAAGUCAGAGCAGAGCAACGGAGCUGGACAGAGACUAAUGUUGGGUGGCACAGUAAAGACAACCUGAAGGACCUGAGCGCCAUCAUUCGCACAGAGUGGCAGCGAGGUCAUCUGGCAAAGGGAUGGUUCGUCCUAUUCCUGUCUUUGAAGCACUGAUGGAGUUGUCAUGAUGGCCAAAGUAAUACCGGAGGACCUUUGAAGAAUGAACUUUCCAAACCACUGGAUUGUUCUGGAAGGAAAAGCCAUUGAAGAUCAAACAAAAUCACAGACAGUAAAAUUAGUUGGCCUUUUCUCAGCUCAAGGAUUCUGCUUCAGGAGGCAAAACUAUUCAUGAUUUUUCAGGAACUGGACUACAGAAGAGUUUUCUUUGCAAAGAAGUCCAAUAUAGUAAUUUUUACACAGCUUAGUAUUAAACCACCCGAAACAUGCACCAACCAUUGAAAG